RNAcentral lists this unclassified non-coding RNA (329 nucleotides) under soil metagenome. RNAcentral's name for it is "partial contains 5.8S ribosomal RNA, internal transcribed spacer 2, and large subunit ribosomal RNA". The stretch from base 1 to 120 matches the Rfam family "5.8S ribosomal RNA", at positions 35 to 154 of the family's 154-position model. The record is from RNAcentral.
GAUGAAGAACGUAGCGAAAUGCGAUAAGUAAUGUGAAUUGCAGAAUUCAGUGAAUCAUCGAAUCUUUGAACGCACAUUGCGCCCCUUGGUAUUCCGAGGGGCAUGCCUGUUCGAGCGUCAUUAUAACCCCUCAAGCUCAGCUUGGUGUUGGGGCCUGCUGCACUGGCAGCCCUUAAAAUCAGUGGCGGCGCCAUCUGGCUCUAAGCGUAGUAAUUCUUCUCGCUAUGGAGUCCUGGUGGAUGCCUGCCAUCAACCCCCAAUUUUUCUAUGGUUGACCUCGGAUCAGGUAGGGAUACCCGCUGAACUUAAGCAUAUCAAUAAGCGGAGGA